UACAGAGGUCCCAAGCGUUGUUCGGAUUCAUUGGGCGUAAAGGGUGCGUAGGCGGCGCGGUAAGUCAGUGGUGAAAUCUCCGGGCUUAACCCGGAAACUGCCAUUGAUACUAUUAGUCUUGAAUACCAUGGAGGUGAGCGGAAUAUGUCAUGUAGCGGUGAAAUGCUUAGAUAUGACAUAGAACACCAAUUGCGAAGGCAGCUCGCUACGCGGUUAUUGACACUGAGGCACGAAAGCGUGGGGAUCAAACAGG
This 253-nucleotide ribosomal RNA is filed under the name uncultured bacterium. RNAcentral's name for it is "partial 16S ribosomal RNA". It matches the Rfam family "Bacterial small subunit ribosomal RNA", at positions 524 to 776 of the family's 1533-position model. The record is from RNAcentral.